ACUACGGGUGGCAGCAGUGGGGAAUAUUGGGCAAUGGGCGCAAGCCUGACCCAGCAACGCCGCGUGAAGGAAGAAGGCUUUCGGGUUGUAAACUUCUUUUCUCAGGGACGAAGCAAGUGACGGUACCGGAGGAAUAAGCCACGGCUAACUACGGGCCAGCAGCCGCGGUAAAAAGUAGGGGGCAAGAGUUAUCCGGAUUUACUGGGUGUAAAGGGCGUGUAGGCGGGACUGCAAGGCAGAUGUGAAAACCACGGGCUCAACCUGUAGCCUGCAUUUGUAACUGUCGUUCUGUCGUACUGGAGAGGCCGACGGAAUUCCUAGUGUAGCGGUGAAAUGCGUAGAUAUUAGGAGGAACACCAGUGGCGAAGGCGGUCUGCUUGACAGCAACUGACGCUGAGGCGC
RNAcentral lists this ribosomal RNA (402 nucleotides) under uncultured bacterium. RNAcentral's name for it is "partial 16S ribosomal RNA". It matches the Rfam family "Bacterial small subunit ribosomal RNA", at positions 338 to 754 of the family's 1533-position model. The record is from RNAcentral.